CCUACGGGGGUGCAGCAGUGGGGAAUAUUGGACAAUGGGCGAAAGCCUGAUCCAGCCAUGCCGCGUGUGUGAAGAAGGCCUUCGGGUUGUAAAGCACUUUCAGUGGGGAAGAAAGCCUUGGGGCUAAUACCCUCGAGGAAGGACAUCACCCACAGAAGAAGCACCGGCUAACUCCGUGCCAGCAGCCGCGGUAAUACGGAGGGUGCGAGCGUUAAUCGGAAUUACUGGGCGUAAAGCGCGCGUAGGCGGUCUGAUAAGCCGGUUGUGAAAGCCCCGGGCUCAACCUGGGAACGGCAUCCGGAACUGUCAGGCUAGAGUGCAGGAGAGGAAGGUAGAAUUCCCGGUGUAGCGGUGAAAUGCGUAGAGAUCGGGAGGAAUACCAGUGGCGAAGGCGGCCUUCUGGACUGACACUGACGCUGAGGUGCGAAAGCGUGGGUAGCAAACAGGAUUAGCUACCCUAGUAGUC
RNAcentral lists this ribosomal RNA (466 nucleotides) under Vreelandella stevensii. RNAcentral's name for it is "partial 16S ribosomal RNA". It matches the Rfam family "Bacterial small subunit ribosomal RNA", at positions 338 to 795 of the family's 1533-position model. Lineage: Bacteria; Pseudomonadati; Pseudomonadota; Gammaproteobacteria; Oceanospirillales; Halomonadaceae. The record is from RNAcentral.